RNAcentral lists this ribosomal RNA (677 nucleotides) under Salmonella enterica. RNAcentral describes it as "partial 23S ribosomal RNA". It matches the Rfam family "Bacterial large subunit ribosomal RNA", at positions 2254 to 2925 of the family's 2925-position model. The record is from RNAcentral. Lineage: Bacteria; Pseudomonadati; Pseudomonadota; Gammaproteobacteria; Enterobacterales; Enterobacteriaceae.
GUGUCUGGUGGGUAGUUUGACUGGGGCGGUCUCCUCCUAAAGAGUAACGGAGGAGCACGAAGGUUGGCUAAUCCUGGUCGGACAUCAGGAGGUUAGUGCAAUGGCAUAAGCCAGCUUGACUGCGAGCGUGACGGCGCGAGCAGGUGCGAAAGCAGGUCAUAGUGAUCCGGUGGUUCUGAAUGGAAGGGCCAUCGCUCAACGGAUAAAAGGUACUCCGGGGAUAACAGGCUGAUACCGCCCAAGAGUUCAUAUCGACGGCGGUGUUUGGCACCUCGAUGUCGGCUCAUCACAUCCUGGGGCUGAAGUAGGUCCCAAGGGUAUGGCUGUUCGCCAUUUAAAGUGGUACGCGAGCUGGGUUUAGAACGUCGUGAGACAGUUCGGUCCCUAUCUGCCGUGGGCGCUGGAGAACUGAGGGGGGCUGCUCCUAGUACGAGAGGACCGGAGUGGACGCAUCACUGGUGUUCGGGUUGUCAUGCCAAUGGCACUGCCCGGUAGCUAAAUGCGGAAGAGAUAAGUGCUGAAAGCAUCUAAGCACGAAACUUGCCCCGAGAUGAGUUCUCCCUGAGACUACGAGUCUCCUGAAGGAACGUUGAAGACGACGACGUUGAUAGGCCGGGUGUGUAAGCGCAGCGAUGCGUUGAGCUAACCGGUACUAAUGAACCGUGAGGCUUAACCUU